UACGGCCAUAUCACGUGGAAACACCGCUUCCCGUACGAUCAUCGCAGUUAAGCAACGUCGAGCCUGGUCAAUAGGUAGCUGGGUGACCGCUUGGGAAUACCAGGUGCUGUUA
Molecule: non-coding RNA, 112 nt
Organism: Acanthosepion pharaonis
Lineage: Eukaryota; Metazoa; Mollusca; Cephalopoda; Sepiida; Sepiidae
Source: the annotation of a GenBank genome assembly